ACAAUGGACGUGGCUCGUUUCAGGUGUGUGAAGAAGUCAGGUGCUAGUCAUGAGACUUAGCUGCAUCCUGGGCGCCAUCUUGGGACUGCCACCACAUCCGCUCCCCACAUCCUUUGUGACUGUAUGGCUCAGAAUGGCUCCCUACACAAGGAAGGACAAUUAAGUUUCUGAUACUACUCCUCAUGUACCGGGACAACUCACAGACUAAUGGUGCUUGAAAGUCUUAGGACAGCCCCAGAUCUCAGAGGACCUCAGAAACAGAAUUCACAGUUCACAAGAUGUUGCAGUGUUUAAACAGAAAGCAUUCUGCUAUGGCAAAGAGUGAUGAAAAACCAACAUAUAGUGUGUAAUCCUGGGAAAGUUGAACAUAACUACAGCUUCAGGAUACACUCAUCUCUAAGGACGAUGAUCAGCCUACUGAAGAAGUGGAGGUGAGCACCCUUGAGAACAAGUAUCCAACUAUAAUAGCCGGAGGAUGACUUUUUUCCUGAUAAAUAAUCGAAGCUAAAAAGCAAACGCUUCCUAAGGGUGGUGAGGAGGUAAAAAAGCGAUAUACAGGUAACCCAUAGAAAUUUGGCACAGUACACUUUAACACAGUAAUUCUAAUACUAGGAAUCAAUUAUAGAAGUUCAUCUUCAUUUAAGUGGAGUAUUGCAUCUUCAUUUAAGUGGAGUAUUGAAUGCAAAAUAAAUAAAUAUUUAUAACCUUAUAAUAAAAGAGAAAAUGAGAGCAUGCCAUUAUAAUAGAAUAUUCUAUAAUGCUAUAUUUUUCAUAUGUUUCUAUUAAAUUAUUUUAUUUAUUUACAUUCCAAAUUUGUCCCCUUCCAGGUACCCCCUCCCAGAUUUCCUCACUCCAUUUCCCCUUCGCUUUGCCUCAAAGAGUGUGUUUACCCACCCGCCCAUGCACCCACUCCCUUCACAUACACAACCACAGUGCAACUUAUAAUGCUACCUUAAUCAGUGGAUCUAUGAAUGGGAAUAAUGAUAUUAGGCUAUACUGACACCAUAUAUUUCUUAUCUUGAAUAGAUAUGUGCUGU
Long non-coding RNA from Rattus norvegicus (Norway rat), 1037 nucleotides. RefSeq lists it as uncharacterized. NCBI's taxonomy places the organism in Eukaryota, Metazoa, Chordata, Mammalia, Rodentia, Muridae. The record is from RefSeq and is a predicted model, not a curated record.